UGAGCAAUCUGCCCUUCUCAUCGGAAUAAGCGUUGGAAACGACGUCUAAUGCCGAAUACGACCUCCUUUCGCAUGAUCGGAGGUGGAAAGCUCCGGCGGAGAAGGAUGAGCUCGCGGCCUAUCAGCUAGUUGGUGAGGUAAUAGCUCACCAAGGCGACGACGGGUAGCCGGCCUGAGAGGGUGACCGGCCACACUGGGACUGAGACACGGCCCAGACUCCGUAGGAGG
RNAcentral lists this ribosomal RNA (228 nucleotides) under uncultured bacterium. RNAcentral describes it as "partial 16S ribosomal RNA". It matches the Rfam family "Bacterial small subunit ribosomal RNA", at positions 118 to 348 of the family's 1533-position model. The record is from RNAcentral.